GUAAAUUCCGUCCAAGGCUAAAUACCAGUGAGAGACCGAUAGCAAACAAGUACCGUGAGAGAAAGAUGAAAAGGACUUUGAAAAGAGAGUAAAAGAUUGCUUGAAAUUGUCAGGAGGGAAGCGGAUGGGGGCCGGCAAUGCGCCCCAGUCGGAUGUGGAAUGGUGAAAGCCGGUUCGCUGAUUGACUUGGGGCAUGGACCGAUGCGAUGAGGCAGCGGCCCAAGCUCGAGCUGUCGAAAUGCACGUGGAGAUGUCGUCACCUUUAUUGUGGAAGGCAGCGCGCAUCGUCUUGGCAUGCUUCAGUAUCUGCACGGUCCUGGUGUCAGCCUGCGGGCCCCCCAUUUAGCCCGUCUUGAAACACGAACUAAGGAGUCUGACAUGUGUGCGAGUCAACUUGAUUGCAAACCUAUAAGGCAAAAAAAAGUUGACUGGUGGGAUCCCCUAGUAGGUUGCACCACCGACCAACCUUGAUCUUCUGAGAAGGGUUCGAGUGAGAGCAUGCCUGUCGAGACCCGAAAGAUGGUGAACUAUGCCUGAACGAGGCAAAGCCAGAGGAAACUCUGGCGGAGGCCCGCAGUGAUAUUGACGUGCAAAUCGUUCGUCUGACUUAGGUAUAGGGGCGAAAGACUAAUCAAACCGUCUAGUAGCUAGUUCCCUCCGAAGUUUCCCUUAGGAUAGCUGAAGCCCGCAAACGAGUUCUAUUUGGUAAAGCCAAUGAUUAGAGGCAUCGGGGGUGCAACGCCCUUGACCUAUUCUUAAACUUUAAAUAGGUAAGACGACACAGCUGCUUCAUUGAGCCGUGCCACAGAAUUGAGAACUCUAAGUGGGCCAUUUUUGGUAAGCAAAACUGACGACGCAGGAUGAACUAGAAGCCGGGUUACGAUGCCCAACUGUGUGCUAACCUAGAACCCAUAAAGGGUUGGUCGAUUAAGAUAGCAGGACGGUGGUCAUGGAAGUCGAAAUCCAAUAAGGAGUGUGUAACAACUCACCUGCCAAAUCAACUAGCCUCGAAAAUGGAUGGUGCUGAAGCGCGCGACCUAUACCUGGCUGUCAAAGCAAGAGCCAGGCCUCAAUGAGUAGAAAGGUGCGGUGGUUGUUGGAAAACUAAUGGCGUGAACCCGGGUAGAACGGCCGUCGGUGCAGAUCUUAAUGGUAGUAGCAAAUAUUCAAAUGAGAACUUUGAAGGACGAAAAGGGGAAAGGUUCCAUAUAAACGGUACUUACACAUGGGUUAGUCGAUUCUAAAAUACGGGGGAAGCCCGUUUGAUAGCACGACAAGCGUGAGCUUCGAAAGGGGAUCGGGUUAAAAUUUUGGAACCAGGACAUGGCGGCUGACGACAACGUUAGGGAGUCUGGAGACAUCGGCGGGGCCUAGGGAAGAGUUAUCUUUUCUGUUUAAUAGAAUUCCCACCUUGGAAAUGGCUCAGCCGAAGGUAGGGUCUAGCGGCCGGAAGAACACCACACAUUGCAUGGUGUCUGGUGCACCCCUGGCGGCCCUUGAAAAUCCGGAGGACCGAGUACCUUCCACACCCGGUCCUACUCAUAACCACAUCAGGUCUCCAAGAUGAACAGCCUCUGGUUGACGGUAAGUCGGGAAAAUGUAUCCGUAACCUUGGGAAAAGGAUUGGCUCUGAGGGCUAGGCACGAGGGUCCCAGUCCCAAACCAAUCGACUGUUGAUGUACUGCUUGAGCUACUCCAGUAAAGAGAGCGGGUCGUCACAUGCCAGUUGGGGGGCAAACUAGGAACGACACCGACGAAGGCCUUCCUUGGGCAUUGAACUGUCGACUCAGAAUUGGUACAGACAAGGGGAAUCCGACUGUUUAAUUAAAACGAAGCAUUGCGAUGGUCCCUGCGGAUGAUCACGGAAUGUGAUUUCCCCCCAAUGCUCUGAAUGUCAAAGUGAAGAAAUUCAACCAAGCGUGGGUAAACGACAGGAGUAACUAUGGCUCUCUUAAGGUAGCCAAAUGCCUUGUCAUCUAAUUAGUGACGAGCAUGAAUAGAUUAACGAAAUUCCCACUGUCCCUGUCUACUAUUCAACGAAACCACAGCCAAGGGAACGGGCUUGGCAUAAUCAACGGGGAAAGAAGACCCUGUUGAGCUUGACUCUAGUCCGACUUUGUAAAAUGACUUGAGAGGUGUAGUAUAAGUGGGAGUCGGAAACAGCGAAAGUGAAAUACCACUACUUUUAACAUUAUUUUACUUAUUCUGUGAAUCGGAGGUGGGGCAUUGCCCCUCUUUUUGGACCCAAGGCAUGCCUCGGCAGGCCAAUCUGGGCGGAAGCUAUUGUCAGGUGGGGAGUUUGGUUGUGGCGGCACAUCUGUUAAAGGAUAAAGCAUGUAUCCUAAGAUGAGCUCAAUGAGAACAAAAAUCUCAUGUUGAACAAAAGGGUAAAAGCUCGUUUGAUUAUGAUUUCUAGUAUGAUUACGAACCAUGAAAGCGUGGCCUAUCAGUCCUUUAAACCUUCGUAAUUUGAAACUAGAGGUGUCAAAAAAGGUAUACAGGAUAAUUAGCUUGUGACAACCAAGCGUUCAUAGCGCCAUUGCUUUUUGAUCCUUCAAUGUCAGCUCUUCCUAUCAUUGUCAUGCAGAAUUCACCAAGUGUUGGAUUGUUCACCCACCGAUAGGGAACAUGAGCUGUGUUUAGACUGUCGUGAGACAGGUUAGUUUUAUCCUACUAAUGACAGUGUCGCAAUAGUAAUUCAACCUAGUACAAGAGGAACCAUUGAUUCACACAAUUGGUCAUCACGCUUGGCUGAAAAGCCAGUAGCGCAAAGCUACAGUGUACUGGAUUAUGACUGAACGACUCUAAGUCAAAAUCUGGGCUAGAAGCGACGCAUGCACCCGUCGCCUGUUUGCCAACCUGCAGUAGGGGCCUCGGCCCCCAAAGGCACGUGUUGGUGGUGUAACGACCUGACUACGUAGGCCAUUAUCAUGCUUACUGAAAUUAAAUCUCAACUUUAAAUCU
RNAcentral lists this ribosomal RNA (2964 nucleotides) under Ficus carica (common fig). RNAcentral's name for it is "eukaryotic LSU rRNA". It matches the Rfam family "Eukaryotic large subunit ribosomal RNA", at positions 299 to 3287 of the family's 3401-position model. Lineage: Eukaryota; Viridiplantae; Streptophyta; Magnoliopsida; Rosales; Moraceae. The record is from RNAcentral.